CGUAACACGUAGGUAAUCUACCCUUGAGCGGGGGAUAACGUUUCGAAAAAGACGCUAAUACCGCAUAAGACCACGGAUUCUUCGGAGUCUGCGGUCAAAGCUGGCCUCUUCAUGAAAGCUAGCACUUGAGGAUGAACCUGCGGCCCAUCAGCUAGUUGGUAGGGUAACGGCCUACCAAGGCGAAGACGGGUAGCUGGUCUGAGAGGAUGAUCAGCCACACUGGAACUGGAACACGGUCCAG
Molecule: ribosomal RNA, 241 nt
Filed under: uncultured Polyangiaceae bacterium
Lineage: Bacteria; Pseudomonadati; Myxococcota; Polyangiales; Polyangiaceae
Description: partial 16S ribosomal RNA
Rfam family: Bacterial small subunit ribosomal RNA
Source: RNAcentral